AUGAACGCUAGCGGCAGGCUAACACUGCAGUCGAGGGGCAGCACGAGUAGCAAUACUUGGUGGCGACCGGCGCACGGGUGCGUAACGCGUAUACAACCUACCUUAUAUAGGUGAAUAACCCGAAGAAAUUCGGACUAAUACACCGUAAGUAUUUAGACGGCAUCGUUUAGAUAUGAUAGAUUUAUCGAUAUAAGAUGGGUAUGCGUGACAUUAGGUAGUUGGUGGGGUAAAGGCUCACCAAGCCGACGAUGUCUAGGGGUUCUGAGAGGAAGGUCCCCCACACUGGUACUGAGACACGGACCAGACUCCUACGGGAGGCAGCAGUGAGGAAUAUUGGUCAAUGGGCGCAAGCCUGAACCAGCCAUGCCGCGUGCAGGAUGAAGGCUCUAUGAGUUGUAAACUGCUUUUAUACGAGAAUAAUGUGAGUUACGCGUAACUUUUUGAAUGUAUUGUAUGAAUAAGGACCGGCUAACUCCGUGCCAGCAGCCGCGGUAAUACGGAGGGUCCGAGCGUUAUCCGGAUUUAUUGGGUUUAAAGGGUGCGUAGGCGGGACGUUAAGUUAGUCGUUAAAUCAUCGGGCUCAACCCGGUAAUAGCGAUUGAUACUGGCGACCUAGAGAUUAGAUGCA
Molecule: ribosomal RNA, 628 nt
Filed under: uncultured Bacteroidota bacterium
Lineage: Bacteria; Pseudomonadati; Bacteroidota
Description: bacterial SSU rRNA
Rfam family: Bacterial small subunit ribosomal RNA
Source: RNAcentral